Molecule: ribosomal RNA, 302 nt
Filed under: uncultured bacterium
Lineage: Bacteria
Description: partial 16S ribosomal RNA
Rfam family: Bacterial small subunit ribosomal RNA
Source: RNAcentral
GCAGCAGCCGCGGGAAUACGGAGGAUCCAAGCGUUAUCCGGAAUCAUUGGGUUUAAAGGGUCCGUAGGCGGUCUUGUAAGUCAGUGGUGAAAGCCCAUCGCUCAACGGUGGAACGGCCAUUGAUACUGCAGGACUUGAAUUAUUGGGAAGUAACUAGAAUAUGUAGUGUAGCGGUGAAAUGCUUAGAGAUUACAUGGAAUACCAAUUGCGAAGGCAGGUUACUACCAAUUGAUUGACGCUGAUGGACGAAAGCGUGGGUAGCGAACAGGAUUAGAUACCCCCGUAGUCCCUGUCUCUUAUAC